GAAGGGAGGAAGGGAGGUGGAGAGGGUGAAGGAGACAAACAAGAAGAGGACUUGACUGCCUCUGCUUCUUCGUUUUGGAAGACUCCAUGUUGGAGGGAAAUCCAAGCUGUCGAGUGGAAAGGCCCAUCUAGAGAAAGACUGAGGCCCUCAGUUGGCACAUCCAGAUGACUUCCAAAUUCACACAGAGCUUUUGGAAGGUCCUUGUCAUCACAAAGAUGGCUUAGCCAAUGACAUACAGGGCAAAGACAGUCACUCCCAUUCAGCUGUGCAAACUGUAAGCCCCAAGCAUCGUGUUUGCCCAGACACUUCUGAAAAGAGAUCUAAUAGAGAAAAUAUACAAAGCAUUUGAGAGCUUCACCGCCAUGGAGAGCCCAAGUCUGACCCGAGGUGCCAAAGCCUCUCCCAGGCUCAAGGCUGAGGGCGACCAGCACGAACAUCAGUAAAAACAUGCAAAAGAAGGAGAAGGAGAAACAUCACGCACCCCUGGACAGUGGGGAUAGAUCCGGAACGGAAGAGGAAGCAGGGAUGAAAGUACCAGGUGGCUCUCCUUCCCGCUUCCAUCUUUUCCAGUAGCCCUGGCAUGGAGGAAGGCAUGUGCUCCACCCACUGCCCAGGGCCUGCAGCUCACAGCUGAUGACUUCUGUACCCACCUGCUCCUGUGUUCCUAGGUGCCAGGCCAGGGCGGCCCAGCUCCUCAUUUCUUUGGUUCCACUCAGAGAACAGUUGUGCUUAGCAGACUCAUCCCACCCCCAAACUCCAGGCUCCUGCCGGCGGGACGAAGGCACUGACAUGAAUCCCAGGGAGAGCCCAGGAUAGCUACCUGCUCUUGUGCUCUGAUGGGUCCAACCCAGGACACAUUUCCCCACCCUUAGUCCACACUUAGGCCUAAGAACCAGGAGAACAGAGGAAGUGUGCUGUGCAUGAAGAAAGUCUUUGGGGACUUGCCCAAAUGUGGGGGUGCUAUUUCUGAACCCCAUACCAAGCCUCAUCCAUGCUCUUGCCCCUGCCCCGGGCUUUCACAUAUCCAGCCCCUCCCUUUAGUCCUUCCCCUUGGCCCAGCCACUGGGGAGCUGAAUUAAAACAACGAUUACAGAAACCA
This is a long non-coding RNA of Peromyscus eremicus (cactus mouse), 1099 nucleotides long. RefSeq lists it as uncharacterized. The record is from RefSeq and is a predicted model, not a curated record. The transcript is spliced from 2 exons. NCBI's taxonomy places the organism in Eukaryota, Metazoa, Chordata, Mammalia, Rodentia, Cricetidae.